CCCCGCCACUGACACACACCGGGGCCGCCCUCCGGCGAGGGGAGGGGGCAGGCGGUCUCCCUCCGCAGCUCUCGGCAGAACGCCACAGCGCCCUACCUCCCUUCCACCUGAGGCAGUGACCCCCCCCGCUCGGCGCUCCCGCCAGACAGCACUCGCCGCUGCCGAGUAGGGGUGUGUGGUGGAGCGGGAACAGAAAAACAGCUGACCUGCGCUAGCAGCUAUGACCUAGCACCAGCCCAGUUCUUAGACCUAAGUGCAAGCCUUGUGGAAUCACAAGCACCAUUGACAGGUCUUACACAGAGAUGGUGGAAUAAAAGAGACAGAAGGCUAACCGGAGAUGGCAGAGAGAGCUGAUGAAGUCCAUUGUAAACUCAGGAGAGAAAUGCUUCAAGUCCAGCUAAAUAGCUCUGUGUCAGGCCCAGCAAAAUGGUGUGUGGGUUUAACAGCUGCAGAAUGUUUCUUUAUUGCUGGUACUUUCUGUGCUCUAAGUCGUACUGUGUUCACCCCAGUGAGCCAGCAGAAAAAGAAACAAAUCCUACUGAAUAUGGCCACAGUUAUGUGGGUGGGAUUAUAAACCUCUCAAAAGGACAUACCACCUUGAAACUACAAGACACCCACCUGCCUGUGACCCAGGCGAGGCUGAUCAAAUUCUUGUGAUAAAUAGGCAUGGCGAGUAUUCUUGUGACAAUGAUUUUCCCCCUGUAUCAGUUGCUGAGUGUUUCAGAGUGCAUUAGAGCAAGGAAGCCAGUGACUUGAAAUGAAGAGAUUAGUCCUAGCAGAAAUCCUCAGCACUGUCUGAUUUGUGGAAUAUGACAGUACAGUCUGCCAGGAAACUCAUGCAAUGUGUUUAUGGCCACUUCUGCAGUGCUUGCAGCCACAGAUUGAGUCCUACCUCUACUUAGGCUGAUGGUGCAGCAGCAGCAAUGCCCCCUCAGCCAGAAAAUAUCCCCUAGUUUUAUGUGUUUUCCUGCUUUUGAGUUGCUGCUUUCAUGGUGGUGUUCUGAAUUGUUUGGUUUGUUCCUGAUCAGCUGCUUUCAAAUUUUUAUUCCCUGGUUUUGGUAUCACCUGGCAGUAUGAGUUUUGUG
Pezoporus flaviventris is the source of this 1085-nucleotide long non-coding RNA. RefSeq lists it as uncharacterized. NCBI's taxonomy places the organism in Eukaryota, Metazoa, Chordata, Aves, Psittaciformes, Psittacidae. The transcript has 5 exons. The record is from RefSeq and is a predicted model, not a curated record.